RNAcentral lists this ribosomal RNA (196 nucleotides) under uncultured bacterium. Its description in RNAcentral is "partial 16S ribosomal RNA". It matches the Rfam family "Bacterial small subunit ribosomal RNA", at positions 336 to 526 of the family's 1533-position model. The record is from RNAcentral.
CUCCUACGGGAGGCAGCAGUGGGGAAUCUUGCGAACUAAUGGGACGAAAAGUCGUACGAUGCAGCAACGCCGCGUGGGGGAUGAAGACUUUUCGGAGUGUAAACCCCUUUCGACCCGGUAAGAAUGGCCCGCAAGGGUUUGACGGUAUGGGUAUAAGAAGCCCCGGCUAACUACGUGCCAGCAGCCGCGGUAAUAC